This 466-nucleotide ribosomal RNA is filed under the name uncultured bacterium. Its description in RNAcentral is "partial 16S ribosomal RNA". It matches the Rfam family "Bacterial small subunit ribosomal RNA", at positions 30 to 507 of the family's 1533-position model. The record is from RNAcentral.
UGAACGCUGGCGGCGUGCUUACCACAUGCACGUCGAACGGUGAAGGCGGAGCUUGCUCUGCUGGAUCAGUGGCGAACGGGUGAGUAACACGUGAGCAAUCUGCCCCUGACUCUGGGAUAAGCGCUGGAAACGGCGUCUAAUACUGGAUACGAGCUGCGAAGGCAUCUUCAGCAGCUGGAAAGAACUUCGGUCAGGGAUGAGCUCGCGGCCUAUCAGCUUGUUGGUGAGGUAACGGCUCACCAAGGCGUCGACGGGUAGCCGGCCUGAGAGGGUGACCGGCCACACUGGGACUGAGACACGGCCCAGACUCCUACGGGAGGCAGCAGUGGGGAAUAUUGCACAAUGGGCGAAAGCCUGAUGCAGCAACGCCGCGUGAGGGACGACGGCCUUCGGGUUGUAAACCUCUUUUAGCAGGGAAGAAGCGAAAGUGACGGUACCUGCAGAAAAAGCGCCGGCUAACUACGUG